This 421-nucleotide ribosomal RNA is filed under the name uncultured bacterium. RNAcentral's name for it is "partial 16S ribosomal RNA". It matches the Rfam family "Bacterial small subunit ribosomal RNA", at positions 360 to 773 of the family's 1533-position model. The record is from RNAcentral.
AAUAUUGGACAAUGGUGGCAACCCUGAUCCAGCCAUGCCGCGUGUGUGAAGAAGGUCUUCGGUAUGUAAAGCAAUUUAAGUAGGGAGGAAGGGCUUUAGGUUAAUACCCUGAAGUUUUGACGUUACCAACAGACUUAGCACCUGCGAACUCUGUGCCAGCAGCCGCGGUAAUACAGAGGGUGCAAGCGUUAACCGGAAUUACUGGGCGUAAAGCGCGCGUAGGUGGUUCAGUAAGAUGGGUGUGAAAUCCCCGGGCUUAACCUGGGAACUGCUUUCAUAACUGCUGAGCUAGAGUACGGUAGAGGGUAGUGGAAUUUCCUGUGUAGCGGUGAAAUGCGUAGAUAUAGGAAGGAACACCAGUGGCGAAGGCGACUACCUGGACUGAUACUGACACUGAGGUGCGAAAGCGUGGGGAGCAAAC